RNAcentral lists this long non-coding RNA (237 nucleotides) under Homo sapiens (human). RNAcentral's name for it is "non-protein coding lnc-RBM47-1:1". The record is from RNAcentral. Lineage: Eukaryota; Metazoa; Chordata; Mammalia; Primates; Hominidae.
GUGUGGUGGCAUUUGCCUGUAGUCCCAUCUACUCGAGAGGCUGAGGCAGGAGAAUUGCUUGAACCCAGGAGGCAGAGAUUGCAGUGAGCAGAGAUUGUGGCACUUGAACGGCCUGGGUGACAGAGCGAGACCCUGCCUCAAAAAAAAAAAAAAAUUCAGAAAUUAAAAAAAAAGAUUGUCAUGUUAGAGUACAAUGUUAUGAAAGAAAAUGUCAUCAUGCUUGUUGAAGAGUAUGAG